This 208-nucleotide unclassified non-coding RNA is filed under the name Hevea brasiliensis (rubber tree). The record is from RNAcentral. Lineage: Eukaryota; Viridiplantae; Streptophyta; Magnoliopsida; Malpighiales; Euphorbiaceae.
AGUUCUGUGUGAAAAAGAAAGAUCACGUUGAAGUGGUUUCCAUGAUUGGUCUUUUCGGCUUGCUUGUUACUAUAAUUGAGAUACCAAUCUUAGAAAGGAAGAGUUUGGAAUCAGUCAAGUGGUCUGCUGAGCUUAUAUUAGCCUUCUGUGGCUAUGCAGUGGCAAGCUUUAUGUUCUACACCUUUGUUCCGUUUCUUCUCGAGAUGAG